This 387-nucleotide unclassified non-coding RNA is filed under the name soil metagenome. RNAcentral describes it as "partial contains 5.8S ribosomal RNA, internal transcribed spacer 2, and large subunit ribosomal RNA". The stretch from base 1 to 120 matches the Rfam family "5.8S ribosomal RNA", at positions 35 to 154 of the family's 154-position model. The record is from RNAcentral.
GAUGAAGAACGUAGCGAAAUGCGAUAAGUAAUGUGAAUUGCAGAAUUCAGAGAAUCAUCGAAUCUUUGAACGCACAUUGCGCCCGCUAGUAUUCUGGCGGGCAUGCCUGUCCGAGCGUCAUUAAUUCCACUUAAGCCCUGCUUAGUGUUGGGAAUCUACUCUAGUGGUGCUACCCUGGAGCUACCCCUGAAAGGGGGCUGGCCCGGUAGCUACCCUGUAGUUCCUCAAAGAUAGUGCGCGGAGUUGCGUGGUCCUCUGAGCUUAGUAACUAUACACCUAGCUUUUGAGUGUCCCGCGGCGCCUGCCGUUUAAACCCCAUCUUUUAAUGGUUGACCUCGGAUCAGGUAGGAAUACCCGCUGAACUUAAGCAUAUCAAUAAGCGGAGGA